This 468-nucleotide ribosomal RNA is filed under the name uncultured bacterium. RNAcentral describes it as "partial 16S ribosomal RNA". It matches the Rfam family "Bacterial small subunit ribosomal RNA", at positions 28 to 507 of the family's 1533-position model. The record is from RNAcentral.
GACGAACGCUGGCGGCAUGCUUAACACAUGCAAGUCGAACGGAAAGGCCCUGCUUUUGUGGGGUGCUCGAGUGGCGAACGGGUGAGUAACACGUGAGUAACCUGCCCUUGACUUUGGGAUAACUUCAGGAAACUGGGGCUAAUACCGGAUAGGAGCUCCUGCUGGAUGGUGGGGGUUGGAAAGUUUCGGCGGUUGGGGAUGGACUCGCGGCUUAUCAGCUUGUUGGUGGGGUAGUGGCUUACCAAGGCUUUGACGGGUAGCCGGCCUGAGAGGGUGACCGGCCACAUUGGGACUGAGAUACGGCCCAGACUCCUACGGGAGGCAGCAGUGGGGAAUAUUGCACAAUGGGCGGAAGCCUGAUGCAGCAACGCCGCGUGCGGGAUGACGGCCUUCGGGUUGUAAACCGCUUUCGCCUGUGACGAAGCGUGAGUGACGGUAAUGGGUAAAGAAGCACCGGCUAACUACGUG